Molecule: non-coding RNA, 113 nt
Organism: Acanthosepion pharaonis
Lineage: Eukaryota; Metazoa; Mollusca; Cephalopoda; Sepiida; Sepiidae
Source: the annotation of a GenBank genome assembly
UAUGACCACAUCAUGUUGAAACAUUGGUUCCCAUACAAUUGCUGAAGUUAAACAAUGAUGAGCCUGGUCUUUACCUAGAUGGGUGACCACUUGGGAAUACCAUGUGCUGUAAU